CCUACGGGUGGCAGCAGUGAGGAAUAUUGGUCAAUGGGCUUACGCCUGAACCAGCCAAGUCGCGUGAGGGAAGACUGCCCUAUGGGUUGUAAACCUCUUUUGUCAGGGAGCAACGCCGGCUACGUGUAGCCGGACUGAGAGUACCUGAAGAAAAAGAAUCGGCUAACUCCGUGCCAGCAGCCGCGGUAAUACGGAGGUGGCAAGCGUUAUCCGGAUUUAUUGGGUUGAAAGGGAGCGUAGGUGGAUUGUUAAGGCGGUUGGGAAAGUUUGCGGCUCAACCGUAAAAUUGCAGUUGAAACUGGCAGUCUUGAGUACAGUAGAGGUGGGCGGAAUUCGUGGUGUAGCGGUGAAAUGCUUAGAUAUCACGAAGAACUCCGAUUGCGAAGGCAGCUUACUGGACCGCAACUGACACUGAGGCUCGAAAGUGUGGGUAUCAAACAGGAUUAGAUACCCUGGUAGUC
RNAcentral lists this ribosomal RNA (461 nucleotides) under uncultured bacterium. RNAcentral describes it as "partial 16S ribosomal RNA". It matches the Rfam family "Bacterial small subunit ribosomal RNA", at positions 338 to 795 of the family's 1533-position model. The record is from RNAcentral.